UUUUUUUUUUUUUUAAAGAGGGGGUGGGCAGAGGGAGAGGGAGGGAGAAUCUUAAGCAGGCUCCAAACUUAGUGCUGAGCCCAGCCCAAUGCUGGGCUUGAUCCCAGCACCCUGAGAUCAUGACCUGAGCCAGGAUCGAGAGUCCUAUUCUUAACCGACUGAGCCACCCAGGCGCCCCUCAUUUAGGAAGACUUUUUAGUAUUUUUUUCCCUUCUUAUCUGCAAGAUAUGUUGCUAUUUUACUCAAAGUGGGAAGAGUUGAUUUGGAUGACCCCUGUUGGUGCUGUUUUUUUGUCUUGGUGGAUCUUGGUGAUUUCUGUUAAAGCUUAAUACUGCAUUUCUUCAUCUAAGGAUUCAUGAAAAGGAUGGAAAGAUCAAGUCUGUGGAAGAGCUUCUGGAAGCAGAAGUUCUCAAAGUUGCUAACAAGGAGAAAACUAUUCAGGUAUUGGGAGAGAGAAAGCUGUGUGUUGGGUUUUUUUUUUUUCUUUUGUGUUUAUCAACUUUAGUGAAUAUCAUUUAAUUUCAUGUGUUUGUCUGUACAUUGCAUUUUAUGUCAAUUUCUGUGUUUCCAUUGUCCAAUCUUGUCUGUUUUGUCAUUGUCAAGGAUUUGAAACAGGAAAUAGAGGCUCUUAAAGAAGAAAUAGGAAAUAUCCAGCUUGAAAAGGCUCAACAGUUAUCUAUCACUUCUCAAAUCCAGGAGCUUCAGAACUUGUAAGUACCAUUUCUCUCAUUUCCCUUUAAUCUCUCUUUUCCACAAGUUAAAUACAAGUAUGUACAAGUCAAAUACAAAUCAAAUACAGUUAUAAUGAAAAUCAUAGCUUUUUAAAAUUUAAUUUCAAGUAGUAUUUUUAGGAAUAUGAAAUUAUAUCUCAAAAAGUUAUUAUGGUUUUAGGUUUUUCAUUAGGAUUUAACUUAAGCUUUUUGACAGGAAUGGGGAUAGAGUGGAAAGUCUUAUUUUUCAUAAUUUAUAAUCUGAAUAUGAUCUUGGAUUGAGAUGUUGCUCUUUGCAAAUUUUAAUAGUCACAGUGAAACUAAUUUAUCUAUUUCAUAGCCAAACCCGUGGUAAUAAGCUGUCUAAAUUUGCUGGUAUUGAUUUAAACAAGAUGGUAUGGGGUGAGAGUACGGCUACCCUAAUUUAUUUAGAUCCAGAUCUGCAGUGAUAGAUGGAACUUUUUUCUUUAAUUGUUCUAUACCUUUUUUUUUUUCUUUUGUAAGAUUUCAUUUGAUAAAGAGCACACAGAGAGAAAGAGAGAGAGAAAACACAAGAUGAGCAUGGGGUGGGGGCAGAGGAAGAGAUAGAAGUAGAUUCCCCACUGAGCGGGGAACUUGAUGUGGGGCUCGAUCCCAGGACCCAUGAUCCCAAUCAUGACCUGAGCUGAAGGC
RNAcentral lists this long non-coding RNA (1382 nucleotides) under Ursus maritimus (polar bear). RNAcentral describes it as "lncRNA (ENSUMAG00000000858.1)". The record is from RNAcentral. Lineage: Eukaryota; Metazoa; Chordata; Mammalia; Carnivora; Ursidae.